Molecule: ribosomal RNA, 1085 nt
Filed under: uncultured Halomonas sp.
Lineage: Bacteria; Pseudomonadati; Pseudomonadota; Gammaproteobacteria; Oceanospirillales; Halomonadaceae
Description: bacterial SSU rRNA
Rfam family: Bacterial small subunit ribosomal RNA
Source: RNAcentral
GAGGUAAAGGCUCACCAAGGCGACGAUCCGUAGCUGGUCUGAGAGGAUGAUCAGCCACAUCGGGACUGAGACACGGCCCGAACUCCUACGGGAGGCAGCAGUGGGGAAUAUUGGACAAUGGGGGCAACCCUGAUCCAGCCAUGCCGCGUGUGUGAAGAAGGCCCUCGGGUUGUAAAGCACUUUCAGUGAGGAAGAACGCCUGGUGGUUAAUACCCAUCAGGAAUGACAUCACUCACAGAAGAAGCACCGGCUAACUCCGUGCCAGCAGCCGCGGUAAUACGGAGGGUGCGAGCGUUAAUCGGAAUUACUGGGCGUAAAGCGCGCGUAGGUGGCUUGAUAAGCCGGUUGUGAAAGCCCCGGGCUCAACCUGGGAACGGCAUCCGGAACUGUCAAGCUAGAGUGCAGGAGAGGAAGGUAGAAUUCCCGGUGUAGCGGUGAAAUGCGUNAGAGAUCGGGAGGAAUACCAGUGGCGAAGGCGGCCUUCUGGACUGACACUGACACUGAGGUGCGAAAGCGUGGGUAGCAAACAGGAUUAGAUACCCUGGUAGUCCACGCCGUAAACGAUGACGACCAGCCUGUUGGGUGCCUAGCGCACUUUGUGGCGAAGUUAACGCGAUAAGUCGACCGCCUGGGGAGUACGGCCGNCNAAGGUUAAAACUCAAAUGAAUUGACGGGGGCCCGCACAGGCGGUGGAGCAUGUGGUUUAAUUCGAUGCAACGCGAAGAACCUUACCUACUCUUGACAUCCUGCGAAUUUGGUAGAGAUACCUUAGUGCCUUCGGGAACGCAGAGACAGGUGCUGCAUGGCUGUCGUCAGCUCGUGUUGUGAAAUGUUGGGUUAAGUCCCGUAACGAGCGCAACCCUUGUCCUUAUUUGCCAGCGCGUAAUGGCGGGAACUCUAAGGAGACUGCCGGUGACAAACCGGAGGAAGGUGGGGACGACGUCAAGUCAUCAUGGCCCUUACGAGUAGGGCUACACACGUGCUACAAUGGUCGGUACAAAGGGUCGCCAACUCGCGAGAGUGAGCCAAUCCCGAAAAGCCGAUCUCAGUCCGGAUCGGAGUCUGCAACUCGACUCCGUGAAGUC